AUUAUUAUGCAAAACGACGCCGUAUAGGAUGGAAAAGUGCUUUAAAUAGGGGUGGGUGGCUCACCGAACCCUUAAGUACCGGUCACAUGAAGAGCCGAUUUUUUUAAUAACCAACCGCACGCCGUCCACAAACCGACCUACGACGACGACUCCUCCGAUGACUCCGUUGCUGAGCUCUCUCUUUUUAUCUUCUUUUUUCUUUUUGGGUCUCAAAUUUUCUUCAUAAGUCGCCUCAACUAAUCUCAUUUACUUUCUUCACUCCUUCAUUGAAUGCUGGAAUUUAAAGGAGGAGCUCUUUCCUGCAAAAGUAGGUGAGCAUUGUUUAGAGAGAGAGAGAGAGAGAGAGAGAGAGAGAGAGAGAGAGAGAGAGAGAGAGAGAGAGUGGUUUUGGGUUUUGUAUGGCUAAAUCAAAGUGUAUUAAGUUUCUAAGUGAUGGUUAUAGUCGUAAUAAACAGAGAUUUCUGUGGUGUAUAGUUCGCUUUUACCUAAAGCCUUCAACGACCUCUGAUGGCAUUUAAUGGUAGUGUUAAUAUAGCUGGUUUGUGAGGAUAUCACCAGGUAUAUAUAUACACAAGGAGAGAGAGAGAAAGUCAUGAAAAAUUCAACCAUGGUCUGGCCCCCCAUAUUGAU
RNAcentral lists this long non-coding RNA (630 nucleotides) under Vitis vinifera (wine grape). RNAcentral describes it as "long non-coding RNA (VVIN_LNC000364)". The record is from RNAcentral. Lineage: Eukaryota; Viridiplantae; Streptophyta; Magnoliopsida; Vitales; Vitaceae.